RNAcentral lists this ribosomal RNA (460 nucleotides) under Escherichia coli. Its description in RNAcentral is "bacterial SSU rRNA". It matches the Rfam family "Bacterial small subunit ribosomal RNA", at positions 61 to 498 of the family's 1533-position model. The record is from RNAcentral. Lineage: Bacteria; Pseudomonadati; Pseudomonadota; Gammaproteobacteria; Enterobacterales; Enterobacteriaceae.
GUCGAACGGUACAGGAAGCAGCUUGCUUCUUUGCUGACGAGUGGCGGACGGGUGAGUAAUGUCUGGGAAACUGCCUGAUGGAGGGGGAUAACUACUGGAAACGGUAGCUAAUACCGCAUAACGUCGCAAGACCAAAGAGGGGGACCUUCGGGCCUCUUGCCAUCGGAUGUGCCCAGAUGGGAUUAGCUUGUUGGUGGGGUAACGGCUCACCAAGGCGACGAUCCCUAGCUGGUCUGAGAGGAUGACCAGCCACACUGGAACUGAGACACGGUCCAGACUCCUACGGGGAGGCAGCAGUGGGGGAAUAUUGCACAAUGGGCGCAAGCCUGAUGCAGCCAUGCCCGCGUGGUAUGAAGAAAGGCCUUCGGGUUGUAAAAGUACUUUCAGCGGGGGAGGAAGGGGAAUUAAAGUUUAAUACCUUUUGCUCAUUGACCUUUACCCCCCAAAAAAACCACCGGCU